Non-coding RNA from Methylophaga nitratireducenticrescens, 121 nucleotides. NCBI's taxonomy places the organism in Bacteria, Pseudomonadati, Pseudomonadota, Gammaproteobacteria, Thiotrichales, Piscirickettsiaceae. The record is from Rfam.
UUAACUGGCUGGAUUAUUUCAGAAUUUAACUCAUAGCCAAAGGCUAUAAAAAGUUGGAGUUUUUAUGUCAAUUACUGCAGAACAAAAGCAAGAAAUCAUUAAAAAAUACGGUCGUGGCGAA